AAGGUGGGAUGACGUCAAGUCCUCUAUGGCCCUUAUGGGUAGGGCUUCACACGUCAUACAAUGGUCGGUACAGAGGGUUGCCAACCCGCGAGGGGAGCUAAUCCCACAAAGCCGAUCGUAGUCCGGAUCGCAGUCUGCAACUCGACUGCGUGAAGUCGGAAUCGCUAGUAAUCGUGGAUCAGCAUGUCACGGUGAAUUACCGGUUCCCGGGUUCUU
RNAcentral lists this ribosomal RNA (216 nucleotides) under uncultured Rhodocyclaceae bacterium. RNAcentral's name for it is "partial 16S ribosomal RNA". It matches the Rfam family "Bacterial small subunit ribosomal RNA", at positions 1170 to 1382 of the family's 1533-position model. Lineage: Bacteria; Pseudomonadati; Pseudomonadota; Betaproteobacteria; Rhodocyclales; Rhodocyclaceae. The record is from RNAcentral.